CUUCGAUGGUCUUGGGUUGCAGGCCCUUGAGUUUGAGGUGCUUGAGAUUGAUCUGGUACUGCCGUUCAAAGUCGGCGGUCGAUGGC
This 86-nucleotide transfer RNA is filed under the name Anaerolineae bacterium. Its description in RNAcentral is "tRNA-Leu". Lineage: Bacteria; Bacillati; Chloroflexota; Anaerolineae. The record is from RNAcentral.